GUCGUAGCCUACAGAAAAUCAAGCUGACAUUUCUAUGACAAUUUUUUCAUUUACUGAAGAACAACUUAAUGGUGGUCAAUUAGAUCUUUUAACAAGAGUGUUCAGCGGUUGUGGGUUUUUUUCAUUUUUGUUUUGUUUUUUGUUCUGUUUUGUAAUGGAGCAGCAAUGACCAGGAUAAGGCUAUUUGUAUCAUAUUACUGUCACUUUCUGAAAAUGUAUGUGUUAUAUCGUGGGAGAGAAAUGGUCGGAAAUUAGCAGCAGGGUGUAGGAAUUCCUGGCAAAGGAAGGAAAGAGGCAAAAGGAAAAAAGAGAGACAUUUUGGGAAAUGCUAGAGUGAUGACUGCAUGUUGAAAAGGCAGGCUAACAAAAACCGCUGUGUUUAAAAGCUGUCGGAGGAGAUUUGAGCAAACAUCUGACGGGAGGGAUUAGAAGGAGGGCUACAGAAAUUACCCCAAGGCAAACUAGGAGCAGUUUACAGCAUUCAGGCCAGGCCGUGGGGACUGCUCAUGCUUGUGCCCUUCUGCCUGUAUGAAGUGCCAGGCUCAGGACGUCGCUAUAUGGAAGGAUCCCUUACAAAAACAGCUUUCCUCUUUUGCCAAGGGGUAAGCUAUGCUGGACUUUGCCAGAGGAAGAAGAUGGAGAUUGAGCAUUGAAUGCCUUGCUGGCUUCACAGAAAUUCCUCGUCUUGUGACGUGUCCUCUGCAGAAAGUUUAGAGGUUUCUAGUUGCAAAAUGCAACCUGCUGCCGUGCUCUUUUGUACUCCACUGUGUGUGCCUACGUAAGAAAAACUUGACUUCAGGCUCGAAUCCUUGUGAAAACUUGCAGUGCGUUUCUAAUGUCCAGAUUUGAUAUCCCAAACUGCAUUUCAAAUUUCUGAAAGAUUGUGUGACAUUUUAGUAAGCCUUGGAUCAUACCCAGUAUUCUGGUUGCUGGAGAGAUUCCUCCUUCUGCAGUGACACUUUCUUCUGUGUUAUUCUUCACACCAUUACUUCUGGCUCAUAGACAUCUAAGAACUUGGAACGAGCAGAUGAGUGUGGGAAGACCCUGCUAGCUUGCUGUGGGAAGCUGGAAGGGGAUGCUGCCUGGCUGUGACUUUUUGGAGCACACUCAUUCCCUUGUUCUGGAGUUUGAGGACAUGGUGCCGCAGCUUGGAGGAAGUCUGACUGGGUAAGUAUCAUAAAGAAGAGGGCUGAGAGCUCUCCCAUGAGGGUGAGUAGGCUGAAUAAUGGGGAGAAAACUCUAGUUAUAAAAAAGACAAGACCAGUUAAGGGACAAACAUGGUGAUGGCCAGUGGCUUGUGCUGCUGGCAGCAGGAGUGGCUGAGUGCCCAAGAAGAAGGUGGACUUCUAAACCUUAGUGCCUGAUCCAGAAGGGUACCCUGACAGGCUGUUAUUGCCUGCCUUUCUGCAUACACUUAAGGUCUCCUGUGCGCUUGGGACAAAUACUGACCUUGUCUCAGCACUAAGCUGCGGUGUACAAACCGCAUCAGCCUCCAGCUGAACAAGAGGGUUGUCUGAUUUGGCGUAUGCUUGUGGCACAGUCGCAGCACUGCCUGGAGUAACCUCUGCUCCUCUCAGCAAGUGCCCAUCGCUCCUGAGAGAGCUGUGCAGGGGUGUGAGCAGAAAAAUACGGAGUGCUUUGCUGACUCAGCUGCUUUGUUCGUCUUGGGACCUGGUCUGGGUGUCGUUACACAGCACUACCGUGUUGUGCUGUUGAGCUCUUUCAGGCUGUAUAAUACAUGUCCGCUUGGACUCCAUCUUGUUGCUCAUUUGCAGUUGCUGUUUAGAACUAAAGCUCUGCAAAUUAACCUUGUAAGACUGUUUUAAAUUGCUUAUAAUUUCCUUAUCUUUCAUAGUUAGGCUGUGGUUGUGUAUGCUGGAUUUGUGUUUCUGCUUGGUUUGUUUUGGAAACCCCAAAUGACCAAACUGCUU
Long non-coding RNA from Dromaius novaehollandiae (emu), 1931 nucleotides. RefSeq lists it as uncharacterized. The transcript has 3 exons. NCBI's taxonomy places the organism in Eukaryota, Metazoa, Chordata, Aves, Casuariiformes, Dromaiidae. The record is from RefSeq and is a predicted model, not a curated record.